GGAGAGGUGACUGAGUGGUCGAUAGUACUACCUUGGAAAGGUAGCAUACGGGAAACCGUAUCGCAGGUUCGAAUCCUGUCCUCUCCG
Molecule: transfer RNA, 87 nt
Filed under: Candidatus Magasanikbacteria bacterium CG_4_10_14_0_2_um_filter_41_10
Lineage: Bacteria; Candidatus Magasanikiibacteriota
Also listed under: 1 other name
Description: tRNA-Ser
Rfam family: tRNA
About the family: Transfer RNA (tRNA) molecules are approximately 80 nucleotides in length.
Source: RNAcentral